RNAcentral lists this long non-coding RNA (360 nucleotides) under Gallus gallus (chicken). Lineage: Eukaryota; Metazoa; Chordata; Aves; Galliformes; Phasianidae. The record is from RNAcentral.
AAAAUAUCCAAGAUGCUGUUCUGCUGUGCGUUUGUCUCAUCAAUUUGUUUCUUAAUGUCUGCCAAUAGAACUCCAUUUUCUCUGUUUAAGUUCUCAGCUUGUUUGGUUUGUCCUGUUGCUUCAUUCAGAGCUUCACGAAGAUCAGUAAGUUUGGAUUCAUACUCAUUCAAUGAAUCCCUCAUAAUUUUAACAAGUCCAUGAUUUUCUUGGUGGUACUUCUGCAGUUCAUUCUUAACACGUGCCAGUAACAGCCGAGCUUCUGUUCUCUCCUUCUCCGCAUCUGUUUGCAGUUGGCCAAAGUUGCGGUUUCUCAUCUCCCUCAUCAUUCUUUGAGCUUCAGCCAGUUCUUUGGCAGCAUCA